RNAcentral lists this ribosomal RNA (395 nucleotides) under uncultured bacterium. Its description in RNAcentral is "bacterial SSU rRNA". It matches the Rfam family "Bacterial small subunit ribosomal RNA", at positions 505 to 898 of the family's 1533-position model. The record is from RNAcentral.
GUGCCAGCAGCCGCGGUAAUACGUAGGGGGCUAGCGUUGUCCGGAUUUAUUGGGCGUAAAGAGCGUGUAGGCGGCUUGAAAGGUCCGCUGUGAAAACUCGGGGCUCAACCCCGAGAGGUCGGUGGAAACCAUCUGGCUAGAGUCCGGAAGAGGAGAGUGGAAUUCCCGGUGUAGCGGUGAAAUGCGCAGAUAUCGGGAAGAAUAUCCGUGGCGAAGGCGGCUCUCUGGGACGGUACUGACGCUGAGACGCGAAAGCGUGGGGAGCGAACAGGAUUAGAUACCCUGGUAGUCCACGCCGUAAACGAUGGGUGCUAGGUGUGGGUGGUGUCGACUCCAUCCGUGCCGAAGCUAACGCAUUAAGCACCCCGCCUGGGGAGUACGGCCGCAAGGCUAAA